RNAcentral lists this ribosomal RNA (1343 nucleotides) under uncultured bacterium. Its description in RNAcentral is "16S ribosomal RNA". It matches the Rfam family "Bacterial small subunit ribosomal RNA", at positions 28 to 1378 of the family's 1533-position model. The record is from RNAcentral.
GACGAACGCUGGCGGCGUGCUUAACACAUGCAAGUCGAACGGAAAGGCCCUGCUUUUGUGGGGUGCUCGAGUGGCGAACGGGUGAGUAACACGUGAGUAACCUGCCCUUGACUUUGGGAUAACUUCAGGAAACUGGGGCUAAUACCGGAUAGGAGCUCCUGCUGCAUGGUGGGGGUUGGAAAGUUUCGGCGGUUGGGGAUGGACUCGCGGCUUAUCAGCUUGUUGGUGGGGUAGUGGCUUACCAAGGCUUUGACGGGUAGCCGGCCUGAGAGGGUGACCGGCCACAUUGGGACUGAGAUACGGCCCAGACUCCUACGGGAGGCAGCAGUGGGGAAUAUUGCACAAUGGGCGGAAGCCUGAUGCACCAACGCCGCGUGAGGGAUGACGGCCUUCGGGUUGUAAACCGCUUUCGCCUGUGACGAAUCGUGAGUGACCGUAAUGGGUAAAGAAGCACCGGCUUACUACUUGCCAGCUAUCGCUGUGAUACGUAGGGCGCGAGCCUUGUCCGGGAUUUAUUGGGCUUAAAGGGCUCNAGGUGGUUGAUCGCGUCGGAAGUGUAAUCUUGGGGCUUAACCCUGAGCGUGCUUUCGAUACGGGUUGACUUGAGGAAGGUAGGGGAGAAUGGAAUUCCUGGUGGAGCGGUGGAAUGCGCAGAUAUCAGGAGGAACACCAGUGGCGAAGGCGGUUCUCUGGGCCUUUCCUGACGCUGAGGAGCGAAAGCGUGGGGAGCGAACAGGCUUAGAUACCCUGGUAGUCCACGCUGUAAACGGUGGGUACUAGGUGUGGGGUCCAUUCCACGGGUUCCGUGCCGUAGCUAACGCUUUAAGUACCCCGCCUGGGGAGUACGGCCGCAAGGCUAAAACUCAAAGGAAUUGACGGGGCCCCGCACAAGCGGCGGAGCAUGCGGAUUAAUUCGAUGCAACGCGUAGAACCUUACCUGGGUUUGACAUGGAUCGGGAGUGCUCAGAGAUGGGUGUGCCUCUUUUGGGGUCGGUUCACAGGUGGUGCAUGGCUGUCGUCAGCUCGUGUCGUGAGAUGUUGGGUUAAGUCCCGCAACGAGCGCAACCCUUGUUCACUGUUGCCAGCACGUUAUGGUGGGGACUCAGUGGAGACCGCCGGGGUCAACUCGGAGGAAGGUGGGGAUGACGUCAAGUCAUCAUGCCCCUUAUGUCCAGGGCUUCACGCAUGCUACAAUGGCUGGUACAGAGAGUGGCGAGCCUGUGAGGGUGAGCGAAUCUCGGAAAGCCGGUCUCAGUUCGGAUUGGGGUCUGCAACUCGACCUCAUGAAGUCGGAGUCGCUAGUAAUCGCAGAUCAGCAACGCUGCGGUGAAUACGUUCCCGGG